CUCCGGCAGUGGCGGACGGGUGAGUAACGCGUAGGUAUCUAUCCAUGGGUGGGGGAUAACGCCGGGAAACUGGUGCUAAUACCGCAUGACACCUGAGGGUCAAAGGCGCAAGUCGCCUGUGGAGGAGCCUGCGUCCGAUUAGCUUGUUGGUGGGGUAAUGGCCUACCAAGGCGAUGAUCGGUAGCUGGUCUGAGAGGAUGAUCAGCCACACUGGGACUGAGACACGGCCCAGACUCCUACGGGAGGCAGCAGUGGGGAAUAUUGGACAAUGGGCGAAAGCCUGAUCCAGCAAUGCCGCGUGGAUGAAGAAGGUCUUCGGA
Molecule: ribosomal RNA, 320 nt
Filed under: uncultured bacterium
Lineage: Bacteria
Description: bacterial SSU rRNA
Rfam family: Bacterial small subunit ribosomal RNA
Source: RNAcentral